RNAcentral lists this long non-coding RNA (1516 nucleotides) under Homo sapiens (human). Its description in RNAcentral is "HSALNT0384850". Lineage: Eukaryota; Metazoa; Chordata; Mammalia; Primates; Hominidae. The record is from RNAcentral.
CCUCCUUAAACCCGCUCCCACCCAUUUCAGUCCUGAUAAGCUAAAGAUCUUAAGUAGUUUAGACACACGCCUUUGCUCAAGGAAAUUCACAGAAACCGCCACUGCUACACAUCUUAUGGAAUGACUCACGAGUUCUCCUUCACUGAUUAAUCCUUUUCCUCAUCCCUUCCUCCCCCUCCCAUCUGCCCUAAGAACAAAGAGCUUGUAAACCAGUAAAUUUGGCAGAGCUCAAGAGCUCUGGGCCGUGAGCAAGCCUCCGAUAUUCUGGUCCCCUGAACCCGCCUUUUAAAUGCUUAUUCUGUCUCUUUCUAACUCCUAUGUCUCCACCAGACUCAGGGUACCCACUGGGUGGUGUGGGGCUGGUUUCCCUAACAUUCCCCACCAAAUAAAGCAGCUCCAACCUUCUAGAUGGUUGCUCAGCUCAGAAGUCUUAGAGAAAUUCUGAUGCCUCUCCUCACAUUUGCUCUGUCGGCAAAUCCUGGUGUCACAAGAGGGCUCAGGAGGGUUUCUGGAUGCCAACGAGACCCCAGCCACAGCCGGUCCCCAGAUUCUUGACAUCAUCACAAGAAAGAAUUCACAGAUGGUGCACAAGAAGGCUCUCGCCAGAUGCUGGUCUUGUGAUCUUGGACUUCCCAGCCUCCAGAACUGUUCUACUUGAAUCAUAGUUUCUUUGCUCCUGGGAGACCCCUGCUAUUCCCAGUGAUGCUGCGAACUGGGGUUCAAAGUGGGGUGGCCUGGUGAGGCCUAAAAUCCAUGUCCCGUGGAGAACUGCCUGCAUCCCUUACAGAACCUGCCACAUAUUUCUGCAGCUUCCAAGAGGAAGGCUGGAAUUUACUGAGCUUACUGAAGCCAAUUAUCCCAAGAGUAUGUGAUCCAGAAGCAAGAUAAAGAUCAAAAGGACUCAGCUGGGAUUUGGCCUUCUCCAAGUGGAAGGAAUAAAAUCUGCAAUUGGCUCUGAAAAUAAAAACCAAACAAAAUCUCAGGCAAUCAUAGACAUGGCUCUUUGCUAUUUAUGAGCUUUUCUUUCUUUCUUUUUUUUUUUAAUUUAAACAAAUGUUAAAAGAUUUUUGUGUGGACCUCAGAUUCCAGCUUUACACUGAAACUCAACAUUAGUGUCGAAGCACUUGCAGGCCAUAUGUGCUCCAGCGAGGGUUUGGGAAUGUUGGGUGGUGUUGGUGGGCACCCAUAAUUGCCACUUGCUAUCACGUGAAUGCCUUAGGCAUGACGGAUUGCCAGUGCCCCUCUGAGCAGUCACUUGGAAGCUUUGCCAAAAUAUAAAUAUGUAACAUGAACAGAGGGUGCGUGACUUUUUAACUGCAGUAGCCACCUUUCAGACACCUGAGGCUUUGGUGUCCUCAGUUCCAAAAGCCACACAGCAGCUCUUAACCUGGAGAGAGGAAGGCACCUGGGGAAAAGUCACGUUCUUCCAAAGCCUUCACAUCAAUCUUUCAUGGAUAUUGAGUUUUUAAAUGUUGGUGAUUGUCGUGUCUUUUGCAGCCUGACAUUUGGGAGGAAG